CCCGCCCCGAGCCCUGGCUCCCGCCGCCGGCGCCCGCGAUUGGCCGCGUUGGGCGCCAAUGCCCGCCCCGUGCGAGCCGCCCCCGCCCCCGCGGAGGGGAGCGAGCGCUCGCGGGCCCGUGGUGGGUUCGGCUGCGCUGCGUGAGGGGCUGAGGCGGUCGUGGUGGCGCGAGCGCAGGAUCUUGGGGAACUGUUUCCCAGCUGUUCUCUGUGGGGCGAAGCCCACAUAUGAACCAAUUCAGGUCAUGGCUGUCCUUCAGAGCUGUCCUCAGGAGAGGGGCCACGCAAGCUGA
This 292-nucleotide long non-coding RNA is filed under the name Delphinapterus leucas (beluga whale). RNAcentral describes it as "lncRNA (ENSDLEG00000011768.1)". Lineage: Eukaryota; Metazoa; Chordata; Mammalia; Artiodactyla; Monodontidae. The record is from RNAcentral.